UUACUACUCCCUCCGUCCAGAAAAACUUGUCCCUCAAAUGGAUGUAUCUAGCACCAAGUUAGUGCUAAAUACAUCCAUUUGAUGGAUAAGCUUGGGACAAGCUUUUCCGGACGGCAGGAGUACCUU
Triticum aestivum (bread wheat) is the source of this 126-nucleotide non-coding RNA. The record is from Rfam. NCBI's taxonomy places the organism in Eukaryota, Viridiplantae, Streptophyta, Magnoliopsida, Poales, Poaceae.